GGGCAAUUAGCUCAGUUGGUUAGAGCGUUUCCUUGACAUGGAAAAGGUCAGAGGUUCGAGUCCUCUAUUGCCCACCA
RNAcentral lists this transfer RNA (77 nucleotides) under Candidatus Omnitrophota bacterium. RNAcentral's name for it is "tRNA-Val". It matches the Rfam family "tRNA". Rfam says of the family: Transfer RNA (tRNA) molecules are approximately 80 nucleotides in length. Their secondary structure includes four short double-helical elements and three loops (D, anti-codon, and T loops). Lineage: Bacteria; Pseudomonadati; Candidatus Omnitrophota. RNAcentral also lists the same sequence under 1 other name. The record is from RNAcentral.